CUGGCUUGUUCUCAGCAGCUUCAUGCAUCAUUGAGUUAAAUCCAACUUUGGAACAUACUGGUGAGAUAUCGAGAGUGUGGGAUGGUUUUGUGAGGAGACAAGAAAUUACAAAUUGCAAAACAAAAUGGCACAAAAACUAGUACCGGGUCCCACUUCAGGUCCCCUCCCAGAAUCCUCCUCUCCGCUCUCUGUCUGCCUCUUUCCUGAGCAGAUCCUGAUCUGUCCACCCCGUCCUCCCCAGCUUGGGUUCUCAGCAAAUCCAAGCUCCUAGUGCUCCUUGCUUCUGAAAAGGCUCGGCGAUCACACAUCACAGACGUGUCUUUCCCUCGGUCAGUCACACAUGUAGGAUGUGAAUGUCAUGUGUACCCUGGGCUGAGAGUCUGAGCAGUUGACGGUCCUGUGAUCCCAACUCUCUGCUGAGCCACAUGCGUUCUCUCUUCCCAGGAGUCCCGAGCCUUUCUGGAAAUGGAGCUUGUGCCCACAAUUCACCACCCCUUAGCCACAGUCCGAAAGCCCAGGAAGCUCUAAGACGAGAAAGCAGCAAACUCGUUUGGCAGCAAACCCUUGGCCUGAACCGAGGCUCUGUCUGGUCUCUGUUGGCCUGUGUGCUUGGUCGCAGGCGCUGCUGUGGACUUCAUCGGGCCUGCUAUGCAGCGUCAGCCAUCCACCGAAAGGAGCUCCUGGGAGAGAGUGUCUACCGUGUCUGCAGGACAUUUCAUUUCCAACCGCCCUGUUGUGACCCACAGAGUACCAGCCAGGCCGAGGAAAGGAAGACUGAAGACUUGUCAGACUGACGGCGAGCUGUCUUGGAAAAGACUACGGAUAAAAAAUCUUGAAUUGCUCACUAACCAAAUGAUUUCACAUUCUUGCAGCGAAUUCAAGUAUAGUUUCUAACAGCAUUUUUAUAGCCUUCUUCUCUAUCCAUCUUUACAAAUAGUUUCUGAACCUCCCUAAGAUACCUGCUUAAAUCUAAAUUAAAAAAAAGCAAAGGGGGGGGGGGGAAAGCAAGAAACCGAAAUAUAAGAAAGUGUAGGGAGGGAAGACAUUUGGAGACUUCAACAUUUUGGCUUUAUGUGAAGUCAUAAGUAAUUUUGAAAUUAGGAUGUAAUGGAAAACAGACCUUAGCACCCUCACCUGGUUAAACCCGGAAGAGGAAAUUGUGCUUGAGAGACAGGUUGGCACUUUCAGGGACAGUAGCUGAUUUCGGAGAGGAAACACGAGUGACUGAACUACGGGAACGGAUCUGGGACUGGAGGAAAGAGCACAGGAGAGGGACGGAUGGAGGAGGGGUGGGCACAGGGCACCUUCUCCUGGACCAGUGGCUGGGAUGCCCGGUUUCCAAGGAACAGCAAAGCGAUGACCCGGCAUUACCCAGAUGUGCUCAUUGCCAGGGGACACCCGAGACACAAACAACUGCAGCUACACGAAGCGGACACAGGUGAAGAGGGCUCUGUCAGUGGGAACGCCGCUGGGGUGGGCGGGAGUGAGAGUCUGAGGGUCUCAGCGCCCUGGGGUGAAUCCGCGCUUUUCUCCAGAUGGGGGUCAACUGGAGCAAAUGGCCACCUUCGGCUCAAAGUGCUUCUCCAGCGAAUGGACCCCCCAUGGUUUUAUGGAAAAGAGACCCCAAUACACCAACCAGACACCACAAUACCAAUCGAGAGUGAUUCUUAUUCCUUAUGGGUGCUGUUGCGUUAAAAUAGGCUUAUUUAUUUUCAUCGCACUUGGUUUGCUAACAAAGUGGCUGAGGGAAGGGGGUCUGGAUACGGAGUGUGGAGCCUGGAAAUCGUGGGGCCAUCUUUAUGGAACUGUCUUAAUGGAAAAACACCAUUCAGUACUUGCUGCUUAGAAAAUUCAGUCUUAAUGAGCUGCUUUCCGUUCCAAAUUUUAACAGUUGACACAAAAUACACCGUUAAACUGUUAUCAAUAAUUGUAGAAAAAUAGACAUGUUUGCGCGGGACAUUCUAGUAAAGGGUCUCCUGGAACAUCCUCAUUGAGAGACUCAGAGGCUCACGUUACAAAAACGAGAUUUGGUUCAUGUUCUGUCUCCAACUACAUGGACACCAAAGACAGUGGGGAUAGGGAGGGCCUCACCCCGGGGGCCCUGUCACCGCUACAGAACCGACCGCCAUGUGCGUGACCGAGGGCUGUCAGGCUCUUUGUUCAGUUGUGCUAACGGGCCCCGAGCUGCUGUUCCCACCAGACAACAGGGCGUGUGUGGUCCUGUAAGCCUUAGUAACUGUUUUAAAAAGGCCCAGUGAGUCUUCAAGAGCUAAAUUAGCAGUCUUUUUGCAACCCCUGCUCGAUUUCGCUUUGUGCUACCAGGCCACGCCCUGCAGCUCUGGGGGUGCUGCAGGGUGAGCGCCCACGAGUCAAGAGCGCCCUGUAUAAGGCUACGUACGUACAUACGUACGUGGAGGAAAGGCCACAAUUCCUCCCACAGCCUGGCAGGAAGCGUGUGGGGCUCCCUCCUCCUCUUUGCCUGCAACCUCCUCCUCAGAGUGUGGAAAGAAUAAACGAUUCAACAGAUAUUCAACGCAGAGUGAGAUGUUGGCAAACAGGAAGGGGCUAUGGCCAACAGGUUUGUUCUCCAGGAAGUCAGUGCCAAGAAGCAGUUGUCCUGAUGCAAAGCCUUGGAAAUGGGAGAAGAGAGGCCCCGUGACAGACGGAGGAGCCGCUUUCCUUAUCUCCCACACACGCUUGUUAGUAGACAAGGUCCCUCCACUAUGGCGAAGGCUGGGUGAUCUGGUGCGGGAGAGCAAGGUCAACAGGGAGGGACGGCUAGUUUGAGUUCUUGGACUUCCACGGUGCAGAGCCUCAAACUGAGCACAGCUGUGGGAGCUGACAAUGAACUUGCAUCCAGUCAGUGGAUAUUGAUGAUGGGCGGACUGCGUUAGGGGACAAACAGUUUAAAAGAGUAAAAUUAAUGUGAAAGAUCUUCACAGUGCAAGAUUUCCACCUGCCCUUGACGUUUUCAUGUAAGAUUCUCUUUUUUUUACUUGAAAAAAAAAUUUUAUAUUGAAAUUUAGCUUUUCAGUACAAAAUACCACCCUCCCUUUUAGCUCUCCCUCCAUUCUUUCCUUCCUUCUCUCCUCUUUUUCUUCCUCUCUAUGUCUACAUUUAUCUUUGCAGAUUGAAAUGAAUUAAGGCUGUAGUUUUUUGUUUUCUUUUGCUUGGGAGACACUUUGGAUUUGAUUUCUAACCUGUGGCAUACUUUUGAGAGAUUUCGUAGUCACCAAGAUUGUUGGUGUAAUCUUUGACUGUUGAACUCUGGUCAUUUCAUAAUAAUAAAAGAAUAGAAUAAAUAACAA
Long non-coding RNA from Myotis myotis, 3308 nucleotides. RefSeq lists it as uncharacterized. The record is from RefSeq and is a predicted model, not a curated record. NCBI's taxonomy places the organism in Eukaryota, Metazoa, Chordata, Mammalia, Chiroptera, Vespertilionidae. The transcript is spliced from 2 exons.